GACGUAGGGCGCAAGCGUUGUCCGGAUUUAUUGGGCGUAAAGAGCUCGUAGGCGGCUCAUCGCGUCUGCCGUGAAAACCCGCAGCUCAACUGCGGGCUUGCGGUUGAUACGGGUGGGCUGGAGUUCGGUAGGGGAGACUGGAAUUCCUGGUGUAGCGGUGAAAUGCGCAGAUAUCAGGAGGAACACCGGUGGCGAAGGCGGCAUCCUGGACCGGCAUUGACGCUGAGGCGCGAAAGCCAGGGGAGCAAACAGG
Molecule: ribosomal RNA, 253 nt
Filed under: uncultured bacterium
Lineage: Bacteria
Description: partial 16S ribosomal RNA
Rfam family: Bacterial small subunit ribosomal RNA
Source: RNAcentral